This 663-nucleotide ribosomal RNA is filed under the name uncultured Ruegeria sp. RNAcentral's name for it is "bacterial SSU rRNA". It matches the Rfam family "Bacterial small subunit ribosomal RNA", at positions 96 to 793 of the family's 1533-position model. The record is from RNAcentral. Lineage: Bacteria; Pseudomonadati; Pseudomonadota; Alphaproteobacteria; Rhodobacterales; Roseobacteraceae.
CGGCGGACGGGUGAGUAACGCGCUGGGAAUGUGCCCUUCUCUACGGAAUAGCCACUGGAAACGGUGAGUAGUACCGUAUACGCCCUCAGGGGGAAAGAUUUAUCGGAGAAGGAUCAGCCCGCGUUAGAUUAGGUAGUUGGUGGGGUAACGGCCUACCAAGCCUACGAUCUAUAGCUGGUUUUAGAGGAUGAUCAGCCACACUGGGACUGAGACACGGCCCAGACUCCUACGGGAGGCAGCAGUAGGGAAUCUUGGACAAUGGGGGCAACCCUGAUCCAGCCAUGCCGCGUGAGUGAAGAAGGCCCUAGGGUCGUAAAGCUCUUUCGCCUGUGAUGAUAAUGACAGUAGCAGGUAAAGAAACCCCGGCUAACUCCGUGCCAGCAGCCGCGGUAAUACGGAGGGGGUUAGCGUUGUUCGGAAUUACUGGGCGUAAAGCGCGCGUAGGCGGAUUGGAAAGUUGGGGGUGAAAUCCCGGGGCUCAACCCCGGAACUGCCUUCAAAACUCCCAGUCUAGAGUUCGAGAGAGGUGAGUGGAAUUCCGAGUGUAGAGGUGAAAUUCGUAGAUAUUCGGAAGAACACCAGUGGCGAAGGCGGCUCACUGGCUCGAUACUGACGCUGAGGUGCGAAAGUGUGGGGAGCAAACAGGAUUAGAUACCCUGGUAG